AUGGAUUGAUGGGAUCGAUUAACCGGGUCUGAUUGAAGGGAAAUGGAAGUGUGCAGGCGGAGGAUAAGAGAUUGAGCGAUGAAUGUGGAGCUUUGGUUUUGUCUGUGAGGAAACGCUUUAAAGGAAAUGUCUCCGUAAACUUUUCCCGCACGCCACAUUUCAGUCGCGCAACGUAAAUGGGACAAAGCGCGGGCAGAUUCCCCUCAGAUAUAAAUAUAUUUAUUUGAUCAGAUGAGCAGCCUCAGUCAGUACAGCGAACGGACCGAAAACACCAACAACCUCCAUCCCAGAGCUGUCUCUCCUCAGCCUGUGACUGCUGCACUACAGCAUGUAGACAGCAGUGCAUUCUCCUGCAGCCUUUGCAAAUGAAAAUGGAGGACGUCUCUCUGUCCAGUAUGGACAACAGUAAGAUGGAGGGCUUUGCUCAAGAGAUCCUGUCUGACCUGGUCGAAGAUGCCUGUUUGGGUCUUUGUUUCGAGGUGCACAGGGCUGUCAAACAGGGUUACUUUUUCUUGGAUGAUACAGACCAGGAGAGUAUGAAAGACUUUGAAAUUGUGGACCAGCCUGGUGUAGACAUUUUUGGGCAAGUGUAUAACCAGUGGAAAAACAAAGAGUGCGUGUGUCCCAACUGCAGCCGCAGUAUUGCCGCUUCUCGCUUCGCUCCACACCUGGAGAAAUGCCUCGGGAUGGGUCGUAACAGCAGUCGCAUUGCCAACCGCAGGAUUGCUAGCGGCAACAACACAAACAAAUCAGAGAGCGAUCAAGAGGACAAUGAUGAUGUAAAUGACAACGAUUGGUCUUAUGGCGCAGAAAAGAAAGCCAAGAAGAGAAAGUCAGAUAAGAAUCCAAAUUCACCAAGAAGAUCCAAAUCAAUGAAACAUAAAAGUGACAUGUAAAGCAACAGGAGUGGAUAAAAAGAGACUUAACCUGAUGUCUGGCUGAUUCGUGUCACAGAUGAGAGAUUCUUCAUAACAUUAUGAAGGAUGAUGUGUUUGUAGAAAAAACUUUGCUGGGUCCUUAGCAUCGUGUGGAGAACCAGGAUAGCUCCUGCUUGUUGCUAAGAGACGAGACAUUUUCCCAGUAAUGCUGUUUGAGGCAGAAGCCACUUGCUACCCUCGGUGCUCCACGGUUUACCUAAGACAGGAUUGUGUGCGCUGAAUCACGCUGAUAAACGGAGGAGAUAUGGACUGAUUCUUCUGACAUUUAGUUUACAUUAGUUUUUCUCAUUUCUGUAUUCUUUUUUCAGGAAUAUUUGCACAAUUGCUCAUGGCUGGUCUCUUUAAACCGACACGUAUAGAUUAGAGGAACUUGCGCAAUUCUCUCAGGGAGGAAGUAAGAACUCAUCAUCUUAUUGGCAGGCAGAAAGAGCUGAGCAUAGAGUCAUAGAUGCUGGGCCAGUUGACCUCUCUUAUAAGAACGGGAUUUGUUCUGAAUGAAACAGUAUAUAAUUACACAUUCUCACACUUGCCCUCCCAUUCUAGGGGAUGUUGAAACAAUUAUAAAACAUUGUGCAAGAAUAAUAGCUUAAAAGUCAAUAUUAGUAAUCAGUGUAAGCAAUUCUGCAUCAGGUUACUUACUAUACAGUUUUUUCAUAUCAAAUUAUUAUUAUUAUUAUUAUUAUUGAAAAUCAUGAUCUAGUAGAUUCAUUUAUUUUCUCUGUAGUUCCAAUAGCCAAAGUGUGGUACCGUUGUACUAUAUUUCACUAGUUCAAUAGCACGUUAUAAUAAUUCUACAUUUACCGUGGUAAGUUAUUGGUUACAGAGAGAACACAGGUUAUUGUAAAUCUCCAAAAAAAGAACCAAUCAAGACUUGAGAGUAUCUUUAUCAUUGCAAUUGGUUUCUUUUCUUUUUGUAUUUCACAUGUAUUAGAUGUUUACAGUGUAAGGUGUCUUGUGUUGUCUCACUUUGUGUGUAACUGGGUAUAUAUAUAUCUUGACUAGAUGAAAGAUGCUGCUAUCCUGACCAUGAGCCACUGGCUUAUGGGUUUAUGGGCAUGUAAUAAAAAUCUCUGAACACGCUUUAUGUGUGAACCAAAAAAAAGUGUUUUAGAAAUAUGGGUGUUGUGUUGCUUGCCAAAUUCACCAAAAUUGGGAGAUUAUAAUAAAGAGGGGUAUAA
This is a non-coding RNA of Paramisgurnus dabryanus, 2116 nucleotides long. The record is from RefSeq and is a predicted model, not a curated record. Lineage: Eukaryota; Metazoa; Chordata; Actinopteri; Cypriniformes; Cobitidae.